CAAUAGCGUAUAUUCAAGUUGUUGCGGUUGAAAAGCUCGUAGUUGGGUUUCUGCUGAGGACGAUCGGUCCGCCCACUGGGUGAGUAUCUGGCUCGGCCUUGGCAUCUUCUUGGAGAACGUUGCUGCACUUGACUGUGUGGUACGGUAUCCAGGACUUUUACUUUGAGGAAAUUAGAGUGUUUCAAGCAGGCGCACGCCUUGAAUACAUUAGCAUGGAAUAAUAAGAUAGGACCUUGGUUCUAUUUUGUUGGUUUCUAGAGCUGAGGUAAUGAUUAAUAGGGAUAGUUGGGGGCAUUCGUAUUUCAUUUUUCAGAGGUGAAAUUCUUAGAUUUGUUAAAGACGGACUACUGCGAAAGCAUUAGCCAAGGAUGUUUUCAUUGA
This 381-nucleotide ribosomal RNA is filed under the name uncultured eukaryote. RNAcentral's name for it is "partial 18S ribosomal RNA". It matches the Rfam family "Eukaryotic small subunit ribosomal RNA", at positions 592 to 976 of the family's 1831-position model. The record is from RNAcentral.